Molecule: long non-coding RNA, 1328 nt
Filed under: Olea europaea subsp. europaea
Lineage: Eukaryota; Viridiplantae; Streptophyta; Magnoliopsida; Lamiales; Oleaceae
Source: RNAcentral
CAAAUUUGGAUAUUGAAGGACGGUAUGGUUGUACAGCAACUUUAAAUAAUGAACAGCAAUUUGUAUAUGAUACAAUUAUGGAUAGAGUGAAAUCAGAAUCAGGAGGCACUUUCUUCAUUGAUGAUCUAGGUAAGAAUAGGCAAAACUUUUUCAUGUAAAGCCCUGUUAGUUCGUGUAAGAUCUCAAAAAUUUAAUUGCCUUAGCCACUGCAUCUUCUAGAGUAUCCGUAUCUCUAUUACUUGGAAGUUGAACAACUUUUUCGAGAUUUGAAAUUAUUCUGAAAACAACUGGUGAAAUUGUACGUUCUAUUAGCAUGCAAUCGACGUUGGGAACUUUGAUGAAAUGCUUAGGUUAAUAAUUUAGGAUGAAGCACCUAUGGUAAAUCAUUGUGCUAUUGAAGUUGUAGAUAAAAUGUCUAGAGAUAUUAAUGAUUGCAGUUUCCCUUUUGGUGGGAAAGUUAUAGCUUUCAAAUGACAUUUUCAUCAAAUUCUACCGGUGUUACCAAGAGGAAAAAAAAGACAUAAUAAAAGCAAGCUUAGUUUUUCUCUAAUCUGUGACCUUUGUAUUUGCAUUUACCAUUACUUCAAAAUAUGAGGGUAAAAUUAGAUCCUGCAUUUUGUGAUUACUUGCUUAGAAUUGGAGAUAGAAAAGAAAAGGAACAUAAUUCUAAAUGCAUUACGCUUCCAAGAAGUAUUAUCUAUCCAUCUGAAGAUGAAAUUACGUCUUUAAAAAAUUUAAUACAUCAUGUCUUUCCAAAUCUAGAAGCAUAUGCUGAUAAUGCACAUACGAUGGUUAAUUUAGUUAUUCUUAUGCCCAGAAAUGACUGCAUUGAUUAUAUUAACAAAAUUUUACUACAAAUUCCAGGUCAAAUUUUUAAAUACUAUAGUUUUAAUGAAGCAAUCGACCAAUAAGAAUGGAGCCUACAAAACUUUUCCAUCAUUGAUUAAACCUUUCUAUCUGGGAAAGUCGCACUUGUAAACAGAGUGAUCCAAAACAAAGAGAAAGAUAUAUGAAUAAAUAGCCUUAUUUGCAAGCUUCACAAUUAUCUUGACUAAGGUAAACUGUUAUUGCAUCUGUUCAACUAUUAUGUGUUAAAAAUGUCAUGAUUCUAUUAAAAUGGGCUAUUACAACUUUGUCAAUUGAUGUUUUUAUAUUGAGGAUAGUGCCAUGCAUCUUUUUCUUUUUGAACAUUUUCAUACUUUUUCUUUAAAAGUCUCUGAAAGAUCUCUAUCCGGUACCGCCACUAGCCCAAGUGCAUCAGCAACUUCAUAGUUUUUAUGAGCUGAGAUGCUUCCAUCAUGAUAUGUGAUCCGUCCAUGUGACAGUGG